This 319-nucleotide long non-coding RNA is filed under the name Glycine max (soybean). RNAcentral describes it as "long non-coding RNA (GMAX_LNC003489)". Lineage: Eukaryota; Viridiplantae; Streptophyta; Magnoliopsida; Fabales; Fabaceae. The record is from RNAcentral.
AAGUAGAAGAUGAGUCUAGAAGAAACUCACCACCAUAGGAAGCCAUGGAUAAGAGCUUGAAGGUAAAAGAAGAUGAAUGAAGGGAGAGGAAGAGAAGAGAAUGAAAUUUAGUGCCUGAAGUCUGAACUUUGAAGUUUAAUUCUCAAAUGAUCAAAGUUGAAAAAAAUGCACACACAUGACCUCUAUUUAUAGUCUAAGUGUCCACAAAAUUGAAGGAAAAUUUGAAUUUCAAUUCAAAUUUCACUUGAAUUUGAAAUUGAAUUUGUGGAGUCAAAUUUUCACUAAUUAUGAAUAGUGAAUUUCCGUUAUGGUUCAGCCC